AGCGGCAACAGCUCAAAUUUGAAAUCUGGCCUCGGCCCGAGUUGUAAUUUGCAGAGGAAGCUUUGGGUGCGGUACCGACUGAGUCCCCUGGAACGGGGCGCCACAGAGGGUGAGAGCCCCGUAUAGUCGGACGCCAAACCUGUGUAAAGCUCCUUCGACGAGUCGAGUAGUUUGGGAAUGCUGCUCAAAAUGGGAGGUAAAUUUCUUCUAAAGCUAAAUACCGGCCAGAGACCGAUAGCGCACAAGUAGAGUGAUCGAAAGAUGAAAAGCACUUUGAAAAGAGGGUUAAAUAGCACGUGAAAUUGUUGAAAGGGAAGCGCUUGUGACCAGACUUGCGCCCGGCAGAUCAUCCGGUGUUCUCACCGGUGCACUCUGUCGGGCUCAGGCCAGCAUCGGUUCUUGCGGGGGGAUAAAAGCCUUGGGAACGUAGCUCCUCCGGGAGUGUUAUAGCCCUCGGUGCAAUGCCCCCGCGGGGACCGAGGACCGCGCUUCGGCAAGGAUGCUGGCGUAAUGGUCAUCAGCGA
RNAcentral lists this ribosomal RNA (524 nucleotides) under Chaetomiaceae sp. RNAcentral's name for it is "LSU rRNA". It matches the Rfam family "Eukaryotic large subunit ribosomal RNA", at positions 97 to 647 of the family's 3401-position model. The record is from RNAcentral. Lineage: Eukaryota; Fungi; Ascomycota; Sordariomycetes; Sordariales; Chaetomiaceae.